GUGGGGAAUAUUGGGCAAUGGGGGAAACCCUGACCCAGCAACGCCGCGUGAAGGAAGAAGGCUUUCGGGUUGUAAACUUCUUUUGCCAGGGAAGAAAGAAAUGACGGUACCUGGAGAAAAAGCCACGGCUAACUACGUGCCAGCAGCCGCGGUAAUACGUAGGUGGCAAGCGUUGUCCGGAUUUACUGGGUGUAAAGGGCGCGUAGGCGGGAUUACAAGUCAGAUGUGAAAUGCCGGGGCUUAACCUCGGAGCUGCAUUUGAAACUGUAGUUCUUGAGUGAUGGAGAGGCAGGCGGAAUUCCUAGUGUAGCGGUGAAAUGCGUAGAUAUUAGGAGGAACACCAGUGGCGAAGGCGGCCUGCUGGACAUUAACUGACGCUGAUGCGCGAAAGCGUGGGGAGCAAACAGGAUUAGAUACCCCUGUAGUCC
This 428-nucleotide ribosomal RNA is filed under the name uncultured bacterium. RNAcentral describes it as "bacterial SSU rRNA". It matches the Rfam family "Bacterial small subunit ribosomal RNA", at positions 354 to 796 of the family's 1533-position model. The record is from RNAcentral.